Non-coding RNA from Podarcis raffonei (Aeolian wall lizard), 73 nucleotides. Lineage: Eukaryota; Metazoa; Chordata; Lepidosauria; Squamata; Lacertidae. The record is from the annotation of a RefSeq genome assembly.
AGGGUUGUAGCUCAGGGGUUAGGGCAUCUGCUUUGCAUGCAGAAGGUCCCAGGUUCGAUCCCUGCCAUCCCCA